GUGCUAAUACCGUAUAACAAUCAAAACCGCAUGGUUUUGAUUUGAAAGGCGCUUUCGGGUGUCGCUGAUGGAUGGACCCGCGGUGCAUUAGCUAGUUGGUGAGGUAACGGCUCACCAAGGCCACGAUGCAUAGCCGACCUGAGAGGGUGAUCGGCCACAUUGGGACUGAGACACGGCCCAAACUCCUACGGGAGGCAGCAGUAGGGAAUCUUCGGCAAUGGACGAAAGUCUGACCGAGCAACGCCGCGUGAGUGAAGAAGGUUUUCGGAUCGUAAAACUCUGUUGUUAGAGAAGAACAAGGAUGAGAGUAACUGUUCAUCCCUUGACGGUAUCUAACCAGAAAGCCACGGCUAACUACGUGCCAGCAGCCGCGGUAAUACGUAGGUGGCAAGCGUUGUCCGGAUUUAUUGGGCGUAAAGCGAGCGCAGGCGGUUUCUUAAGUCUGAUGUGAAAGCCCCCGGCUCAACCGGGGAGGGUCAUUGGAAACUGGGAGACUUGAGUGCAGAAGAGGAGAGUGGAAUUCCAUGUGUAGCGGUGAAAUGCGUAGAUAUAUGGAGGAACACCAGUGGCGAAGGCGGCUCUCUGGUCUGUAACUGACGCUGAGGCUCGAAAGCGUGGGGAGCAAACAGGAUUAGAUACCCUGGUAGUCCACGCCGUAAACGAUGAGUGCUAAGUGUUGGAGGGUUUCCGCCCUUCAGUGCUGCAGCUAACGCAUUAAGCACUCCGCCUGGGGAGUACGACCGCAAGGUUGAAACUCAAAGGAAUUGACGGGGGCCCGCACAAGCGGUGGAGCAUGUGGUUUAAUUCGAAGCAACGCGAAGAACCUUACCAGGUCUUGACAUCCUUUGACCACUCUAGAGAUAGAGCUUCCCCUUCGGGGGCAAAGUGACAGGUGGUGCAUGGUUGUCGUCAGCUCGUGUCGUGAGAUGUUGGGUUAAGUCCCGCAACGAGCGCAACCCUUAUUGUUAGUUGCCAUCAUUCAGUUGGGCACUCUAGCAAGACUGCCGGUGACAAACCGGAGGAAGGUGGGGAUGACGUCAAAUCAUCAUGCCCCUUAUGACCUGGGCUACACACGUGCU
RNAcentral lists this ribosomal RNA (1079 nucleotides) under Enterococcus faecium. RNAcentral's name for it is "bacterial SSU rRNA". It matches the Rfam family "Bacterial small subunit ribosomal RNA", at positions 160 to 1226 of the family's 1533-position model. The record is from RNAcentral. Lineage: Bacteria; Bacillati; Bacillota; Bacilli; Lactobacillales; Enterococcaceae.